Molecule: non-coding RNA, 113 nt
Organism: Acanthosepion pharaonis
Lineage: Eukaryota; Metazoa; Mollusca; Cephalopoda; Sepiida; Sepiidae
Source: the annotation of a GenBank genome assembly
UUACGACCACAUCAGGUUGGAACACAGAUUCCCAUGCGAUCACCGAAGUUAAGCAACGUGAAACCUGGUCAGUGCCUUGAUGUAUAACUGCUUGGGAAUACCAGGUGCUGUAA